AAAAACAUGGCAUCACAUUGCAUCCAUACAUAUACCAUUGCAUUUUCAUUCAUCAGUAUGCAUUGCAUGCCACUCAAAAAGAAAAAAAUAAGAAAAAACUCAUACAUCUUUUGUCCAUAACCAACAACUUAUUUCCUGACACCUACGUCAGACUUGAAGCAGCUUUCAAAGAUCAUGGACCCUGGGAAACAAAACCAAUUUGCGUCAAGAGAAGAUGUUG
This 220-nucleotide long non-coding RNA is filed under the name Lathyrus oleraceus (garden pea). RNAcentral describes it as "Pisum sativum (pea) long non-coding RNA (PSAT_LNC023599)". Lineage: Eukaryota; Viridiplantae; Streptophyta; Magnoliopsida; Fabales; Fabaceae. The record is from RNAcentral.